RNAcentral lists this non-coding RNA (30 nucleotides) under Homo sapiens (human). The record is from RNAcentral. Lineage: Eukaryota; Metazoa; Chordata; Mammalia; Primates; Hominidae.
UACCUCUACUGCAGCCCUGGAACCCAAUGU